Molecule: ribosomal RNA, 490 nt
Filed under: uncultured bacterium
Lineage: Bacteria
Description: partial 16S ribosomal RNA
Rfam family: Bacterial small subunit ribosomal RNA
Source: RNAcentral
AUUGAACGCUGGCGGCAGGCCUAACACAUGCAAGUCGAACGGUAACAGGAAGCAGCUUGCUGCUUCGCUGACGAGUGGCGGACGGGUGAGUAAUGUCUGGGAAACUGCCUGAUGGAGGGGGAUAACUACUGGAAACGGUAGCUAAUACCGCAUAACGUCGCAAGACCAAAGAGGGGGACCUUAGGGCCUCUUGCCAUCGGAUGUGCCCAGAUGGGAUUAGCUAGUAGGUGGGGUAACGGCUCACCUAGGCGACGAUCCGUAGCUGGUCUGAGAGGAUGACCAGCCACACUAGAACGGAGACACGGUCCAGACUCCUACGGGAGGCAGCAGUGGGGAAUAUUGCACAAUGGGCGCAAGCCUGAUGCAGCGAUGCCGCGUGUAUGAAGAAGGCCUUCGGGUUGUAAAGUACUUUCAGCGGGGAGGAAGGGAGUAAAGUUAAUACCUUUGCUCAUUGACGUUACCCGCAGAAGAAGCACCGGCUAACUCCGUG